Molecule: long non-coding RNA, 1216 nt
Filed under: Canis lupus familiaris (dog)
Lineage: Eukaryota; Metazoa; Chordata; Mammalia; Carnivora; Canidae
Description: lncRNA (ENSCAFG00000052658.1, ENSCAFG00805001509.1, ENSCAFG00845003067.1)
Source: RNAcentral
UUUUUUUUUUCUGAUCCCUUUUUUUAUGAUACCAACACAUACACUUCAAUUUAUUUGACUUGUAUGUAAUAGCAAAUUUUCAACAUUUAUUUUAUGCUUCUCACUAAAACCAGGUCUUUAAUUCUCCUAUGAAGUGAGCUCUCCCCUGAUAACACCGAGACCUACUACAAAUUAAUUCAGCAUUUUCUGAACAAAUAAUUGCUCUUCUGUUUACUAGUGUUCUAUUUCUCCCUAAUGACUGUAUACAGGAUUGCUUUAUCAACAUUGUAAAUUAAUCCUUGUUUGCAUCAUGGCAUGCUCUAGAAACAGCAAAGCACUUCUUAAAUUGUCAAGGAAAUUAUGGUAAAUUAUUUUUUUUCAAAUUUACUGUAUACAUUUAAAAUGGAAGCAAAAUGCUAUCAUAUAGUUAUUUUUGCAAUAUUUAUAUUGAACAGAAUCAUGUUAUCAGGGAAAACCUAGGAAAUUAUGUUUCUCAUGAUGAUAUUUUCAUUAUUCAUUACUCAGUCAGGAUUUUGGUGAAUAUAAUAUAUGAUAUAAUAUUCUUUCAAGAUUUUGGUGGAUAUAAUAAUAUAAUAUUUGUUUUAUUUUCCUUUAAUUAUAGUUAAGUGUAAUGCUAUGAAAUGAAAUGAGAUAGUCAGAAUGGAAGCCACAAAUUAGAGUUUUUAUUUCAUCAACAUAGAAGAACAGAUACACAGAAUGAAUGGUCAUUCAACAUGAAACUACAAAUUAAGGACUGAAAUAUACUUUUAAAAUAUAUCACUGAAUUUACUCAUGAAGGAGAACCAUAAUGAGAUUUUGUAAUGAGGAAAAAAUAAUAAGUGAAAAAUAGAGAGGGUGGCUAUACAUAAUGAUUAAAAUUUUAAUUUAUUAGAAGGAUACAACAUUUCUAAAAGUGUAUGCAUUUAAUAUUAUAGUCUAAAAAUAGAGCUUAAAUAGAAACAUAAAAUCAUAUACAAAAAUAAUUAUAUUAUCUGGAAUUUAGUACACUCUCCUGUCAAUUAUUCGAGCAAAAAAAAAAAUCUUCCUUUAGAAAAAAGUCAACAAAAAUAUAGCAAAUCAAAAUAGAAAAUAGUACCAACUCAAUGUACUCCUGUUUAUAGAACAUUGUAUCCUUCCUAUUUUAGAGUACAAUAUUCUAUUUCUGGUAGAUAAACCAUGAAAUUAAUAGGAGAUGAUCAAAUUAUAGAUCAUAUGUGUCAUUAAUAUUAGUGUUAUA